Molecule: non-coding RNA, 3267 nt
Organism: Rattus norvegicus (Norway rat)
Lineage: Eukaryota; Metazoa; Chordata; Mammalia; Rodentia; Muridae
Source: RefSeq, a predicted model, not a curated record
CCUGAGUCCACCUUCCACUCAGAACAAAGAAGCAGACCAAAGACCCAAACAAGCUUCAUUGGACUUCAGAGCCCGAAGGGAGAAGUCUAGAGUGAAACUCAGCCCCUGAAUCUUCAUUCCUCCCGUGUGGAGAAGGUAGAAUGAUCUGGAAGCCGGUGACUUCAUACAUUAAGAAUGUCCUCCCCGGCUGGCUCUUUUGCUCUGUCUGUGUAAUCGGUACCUAGACAACAUUUUCAAAAGCACCCUGCCCCCAGCUGACGUACAACCAGAGGGCAUAUGACCGAGGAACAGUUUCCUUCUCCAGCUCUGGGUGGUCCUGAUGCCAGACUUGUCUUCUCUAGCCCAUGGAGAGAAGCCAUCGAACAGAAAGCUGUUGGGAGAUCUAGGAGUCGGCUCCCUCUGCUGCAGGUGAUAUGUGAUCGAGGUAAGGCUUCGAGAAAUACAAUCUCAGUCACUUCCUUGAAGCCAAAACUAACAAGAUCGAGCAUGGUGGGCACCGACUCCAGGGAGACAAGGGAGAGAUCAAGAUGCAGCGUGACUCAACCGGUAUCCCCUCACGAUGUAAAAACAGUGUAAUCACAUAUCGUCGCGUGUGCUUCAGCUAUGGAUUCUUGCUAGAUAGACUCCAUCUCCAGUUCAUCUCCCUGCCUACAGAUGCUCACCCAGUCUCUAAUGUGUGGAUGGAGACGGCGCAGACAGCGUUACUGCACCUCUGGAGCGCAAAAUGAGUUCUUUUCCAGAAUUCGCCAUGUGACUGAAAUUUUGUGACGCGCAGUGCAGCCUAUUUUGACCGGCUUUCAUUUUUACCCCCACCUCCUGUUCUCAACUUGAUCGGCAAGCAUCAGAGAUUUUCUUGAUCUUACCCAGGAGCAAGCAUCACAGGGUAUGGUCCCUAGAAGUUUGUAGCAACACGGUGUGACCAGACAUGGCCGAGAGGGGAUGCCUCUCCAGUCUUUCCUCCCAGAUUAGCAGAAUGAAGUGGGCAUGUGGCAGCCUGGAGUCAGAUGGCAGCGGACACGUGACCGACUGAUGUCAGAACCCACCCAUCACCUGCCUGAAAUGGUCAUCCCUGAGACAGCCCCAAAGGGCCAUACCAUGACAAUAUCCCCGUACUGGGCAGCCUGAUUCCAACCUGAGGUACUUCCUGUUGCCUUUGAGACCAGAUAAACCAUCCCUGAGCUGCCCUGAGACUCCAUUUUCCACGAACUUUAGCCUGAAGUUAGUAAGACCACUUACCUCUCCCCGACCCACACCCUCUCCUCUCUCCACUUUAGCCCACCCCACCCUCACAUAUACAGCCGGACGUCAGAGGGCCCCAUUCUCUGCAAUUCCAACCAAGAAGACAUGCCCUGUGCCAGCUGAGCUGUUAUUUCGUUCUGCCGUUUUCUAGUUUAUCCCUCCUAAAGGACUCUGGGGACAUCCUCAUCCCUACCUUACAAUCCUGUAAUUACGGUCACAGUGACAGCAAAAGUCUACUCUGCUCAAGAGGCUUUCGUCAAGGGAGCUCCUUGGAGGCCAGGGGUAUGUUGAGGGCCUCGGCGGUGUGUGAACAUUGACAAUUAUUUAAGGGAAAUGCUUGCAGAGUACGGGGCAGGUGGCAAAUGGCAUCUCUUAAAUACAUAGAUUUGGUAAUUCAGAGUCUCUAUAUCUUAGUUUGGGUUUCCAGUGCUGCGAUGAAGACCAGGAUCAAAAGCAACCUGGGAGGAAAGGGUGUAUCUCAUCUCACAGUUCCAGGUCACAGUCCACCAUGGCGGGGGGGGGGGGGGGAGGGUCAGGGCAGGAACCCGGAGGCAGGAACCUGGGGGCAGGAACUGAAACAGGAAGGAGGAACACUGCUUAUAGGCCUGCUCCCCGUGGUUUGGUCAUCCUGCUUUCUCAUAUAACCCAGGACCACCUACCCUGGGGUAAGAGACCUCCCACAGUGGGCAGGGCCCUCUCACAUCAAUCAUUAAUUGAGAACGUUAGUGUGUCUGCUAACCAUAUUUCUUCUUAUUGCAACAAUAAGAGUUGGAUUUGGGCUGUGGAGAGAUGGCUCAGCAGUUGAGCACUGGCUGCUUUUGCAGGGGACCCAGGUUCUGUCCCCAACACCCACAUGGCAGGUCACAAUCAUGUAAAUGUCUAGUUCAAGAGGAAUCAAUGCCCUCUCCUGGCUAUCAGGGGCACCACACACACACACACACACAGGGUACAUGCAUACAGGCAAAACACCCACAUACGUAAAACCAAAGUAAAUAAAAUCUUAAAAAAAAAAAGGAUUGGAAAAUUAAAAACCACUGUUGAUUUGAUUUUCAGCAGACGGGAGGAUUGAAAACACAAAGACAAUAUCGUGGGGACCAAGAACGCACUCCGGGCUCUUGACAUUUGAAUGGGGCACUUAUUUUAAAAGUCUUCGCCUUUGUGUCACGAAUCCAAUUGCUGUGUCUUCUAUCCUUUCUCUUCUACCUCUUGGUGCUGCUUAAUGUACAGAAAUAGGAGACUAAGCUGCCCUCAGGACCUGGGGUGUUACCACUCCACUGCUUAGAGAGGUCUCAAUCACAGGCGGCCAGGACCCAGCCCUCACCUAGUGAUGAGCUCCUGACUGCAGGUCCCUUCCUUCAACCACACCAAUGGUAAGUAAGCAUGCUCAUUAGACUUAAUCUAUUGGUUCCAUCCAGGUAUGCUGGCCACUAAUGCUGGAUAGCCAUGGGAACAACACUGUUCAUGAGGAAGCCAAGAUGUCUACUGUAGUAACUUGAAAUGCAAAAAACAGGAAGUAUCAGUCCCUCUUUAAAGGGGGGUUUGGUACUUUUUGGGCUCUUCAGAGGCUGAGACAGAUUCUACAAUUCAUCAGGCACUCCACGGUUUGGCACAGUUUGCCAUGAAGGUCCCCCCAGUAUCUGAGGGACUAGGAGAAAAACCCAGGUUUCACAUAGCAACAGAACAGUGUGUGGCAUCAAUGAAUUCUUUGACUUCCUUGAUCCUCUUUUGUCUGGGAUACGGGAGUUUCAGAUGAAUUCCUCGGGUGGAAUAUCACAAAGACCUCUUGGAGUACACAGAAGGCAUCUCUCCCUCACCAAGUACAAAGAACAAAGAACCUGGUCCACGCACGCUGAUGUUACUGGAGAGGGUAGCACCGAGAUCUCGGUCAGACAACAGAGCGGACACGUCUCACAGGAGGCUAGAGAAGGUCUGGAGUGUGGAACCCUGCAGGGAUGUAGACUGCGGUUUGGAAGUAACCAGAACUGCCUAAGGCUGGUUCAUGAGGUUCAGUGGGACAGAGGGAGAAGC